AUGAACGCUGGCGGCGUGCCUAAUACCUGCAAGUCGAGCGAACAGACGAGGAGCUUGCUCCUCUGACGUUAGCGGCGGACGGGUGAGUAACACGUGGAUAACCUACCUAUAAGACUGGGAUAACUUCGGGAAACCGGAGCUAAUACCGGAUAAUAUAUUGAACCGCAUGGUUCAAUAGUGAAAGACGGUUUUGCUGUCACUUAUAGAUGGAUCCGCGCCGCAUUAGCUAGUUGGUAUGGUAACGGCUUACCAAGGCAACGAUGCGUAGCCGACCUGAGAGGGGUGACCGGCCCCCCGGGACCUGAGCACCGGCCCAACUCCCUACGGGAGGCAGCAGGAGGAAAUUUUCCGCAAUGGGCGAAAGCCUGACGGAGCAACGCCGCGGGGGUGAUGAAGGUCUUCGGAUCUUAAAACUCUUUUUUUAGGGAAGAAAAAAUGUUUAAGUAACUAUGCCCGUCUUGACGGUACCAAAGCAAAAAGCCACGGCUAACUACGU
RNAcentral lists this ribosomal RNA (496 nucleotides) under uncultured bacterium. Its description in RNAcentral is "partial 16S ribosomal RNA". It matches the Rfam family "Bacterial small subunit ribosomal RNA", at positions 29 to 506 of the family's 1533-position model. The record is from RNAcentral.